CUGCUAUGGUCCACCCACCAACAUCUUUCAAAGGCAAAAAUGGCAUUUUCAUAUAUAGUUUAAUAAUUCUAGUGCUCAAUUUUGUUUUCACAUCUUGUUUGCAGAAAAAGAUUUCACACCAUCCAAAGGCAAUAGUAUCCAAACUACCACAAAAAUUUAAUUGAAAAAAUAGUGUAAGAUAAAAAGAAAGAAUAGUGGCAUCACACACCUAAGAAUCCCAGUGGCAUGUUCUCUUUGGACCUUGUAGGCAAAUGGCUGAAAGAGUGACAACUAUUAAAUUCCUCCAAAUCUUCAUAGCUAGCUCCCUUCCCUGUCUUUCUUUUUGGCAAUCAAACAACAUAUAGGUUAGUUAAGUUAUGGUCUGAAAGAGUUGUACACAUCAAACAAAGCUAGAGUAUCCCAAACGUUGUCUACCAAAAUUAAGCAUGAUUACAAGAUAAAACAAAGACCCAAAAUCUGUGUUGGCUCAAUCAAUGUCCACAAGAGACCAAGACCCAGACCCUGUGUUGGCUGGAUCAUUGCCUACCUCAAAAACCCAUUACCAUUUGCAGUCUCUAUGGGCAAUCUUGAAAUUUGCCAAGUGAGUAAAGGGUAAGUUAAUGGUGGGAAUGAG
RNAcentral lists this unclassified non-coding RNA (613 nucleotides) under Hevea brasiliensis (rubber tree). The record is from RNAcentral. Lineage: Eukaryota; Viridiplantae; Streptophyta; Magnoliopsida; Malpighiales; Euphorbiaceae.